Molecule: long non-coding RNA, 836 nt
Organism: Gallus gallus (chicken)
Lineage: Eukaryota; Metazoa; Chordata; Aves; Galliformes; Phasianidae
Source: Ensembl
AUGAUUCAACAGUGCCCAUACAAAUGGUCAAAGUAAACUGACUCAUUACAUCUAUGGAUGCUAAGUCUUUUCAGGAAUCCAGCUGAACCCAUUCAAUGCCUUGUGAGUUAAGUAAUUAGAGACCUUUUUCAACUGCCACAACUCUUCAAACAUGACAGAGUGACCUUGCCAGCACUUGCUUCUUCAGGACUCUUAUGUUCAUUAGUAACAAAGCAAUGAAAAGAAUACCUGUCAGAGAGUUGCCGAGGUGUGCACUGAAGGGAACUUCUAAGAGAAAGAUUAUUUGAGUCCCUAGCCCAGGAGCUGCACCAAGGAUUAGUUAAAAUAAAGGAGGAAGAUCUUAACUACCUGGGAGUGUGAAUGUAUAUAUACACUGAUGUGAUGUGUUCUCAAUGUGUUAGAUAUUGUGAUUACACAGUAACGUUUAUACUUCUGGAACAAAGACUACAUAAAAAUGUAGAGCCUUUCCUUUACCACGCAAGGUAAUACGUAUGAAGUACAAUGAAUAUUAUCUACUUGUUUGGCUGCCUGAUAGAAGCCUUGCUUAUGUGGCAGUUUAGAUAAUCUGAAAAUUCCCUUUGGGCAGAAAUCAAGGAUAUUUUGUUUAUCACUUUUCUGCAGAAAGGAGCACUGGACCACUGAUAUAAUUAGGUUUUUAAUUAAAUUUGAUUGAAUUCAUGCUCAAAUUAUUUCACAAAUAAAUAAAUAUGUAUUCUGCUGUUUUCUACUGUUGUCUUAUUUCAUUCAUAUUUUGAAACCUUCAUCAGUAAGUUUGACUGUUUGGCAGCUGACAAGUCUAAAGAACCUAAAGAUUGCUCUGGAAAUAAAUUAUGAAC